Molecule: ribosomal RNA, 253 nt
Filed under: uncultured bacterium
Lineage: Bacteria
Description: partial 16S ribosomal RNA
Rfam family: Bacterial small subunit ribosomal RNA
Source: RNAcentral
UACGUAGGUGGCAAGCGUUGUCCGGAUUUACUGGGCGUAAAGAGCGCGCAGGCGGUCGUUCAAGUCGCGUGUGAAGGCCCCCGGCUCAACUGGGGAGGGUCACGCGAUACUGAUCGACUCGAAGGCAGGAGAGGGAAGUGGAAUUCCCGGUGUAGUGGUGAAAUGCGUAGAUAUCGGGAGGAACACCAGUGGCGAAGGCAAUCCCCUGGACCUGUACCGACGCUCAUGCACGAAAGCGUGGGGAGCAAACAGG